This 610-nucleotide ribosomal RNA is filed under the name Salmonella enterica subsp. enterica. RNAcentral's name for it is "partial 23S ribosomal RNA". It matches the Rfam family "Bacterial large subunit ribosomal RNA", at positions 580 to 1191 of the family's 2925-position model. RNAcentral also lists the same sequence under 3 other names. Lineage: Bacteria; Pseudomonadati; Pseudomonadota; Gammaproteobacteria; Enterobacterales; Enterobacteriaceae. The record is from RNAcentral.
CAGGUUUACCUGUGUGACUGCGUACCUUUUGUAUAAUGGGUCAGCGACUUAUAUUCUGUAGCAAGGUUAACCGUAUAGGGGAGCCGGAGGGAAACCGAGUCUUAAUUGGGCGUUAAGUUGCAGGGUAUAGACCCGAAACCCGGUGAUCUAGCCAUGGGCAGGUUGAAGGUUGGGUAACACUAACUGGAGGACCGAACCGACUAAUGUUGAAAAAUUAGCGGAUGACCUGUGGCUGGGGGUGAAAGGCCAAUCAAACCGGGAGAUAGCUGGUUCUCCCCGAAAGCUAUUUAGGUAGCGCCUCGUGAAUUCAUCUCCGGGGGUAGAGCACUGUUUCGGCUAGGGGGCCAUCCCGGCUUACCAACCCGAUGCAAACUGCGAAUACCGGAGAAUGUUAUCACGGGAGACACACGGCGGGUGCUAACGUCCGUCGUGAAGAGGGAAACAACCCAGACCGCCAGCUAAGGUCCCAAAGUCAUGGUUAAGUGGGAAACGAUGUGGGAAGGCCCAGACAGCCAGGAUGUUGGCUUAGAAGCAGCCAUCAUUUAAAGAAAGCGUAAUAGCUCACUGGUCGAGUCGGCCUGCGCGGAAGAUGUAACGGGGCUAAACCAUG